UGAUCAAUAUAAAAAUCACAUAUAGAGAAAUUAUCGAUAAUUGAUCCUAAUACACAAAUCGAGGAUCUCUCUUAGGAUUAAUCAAAAUUAGGAUUUAUCUAAGUAUCUGGAUCCUCCACUGAUCCAUAAGACUUCUAGAGAGAGAAAAUUCUAGAGAGAGAAAGUAGAGAGAGAAAGUGGAGAGAGAAACCUUCGUAUCCUUCCGAUGAGGCACUCAUGAUCGAGAUCAUCAGAGGUCCUAUCAGGGUGACUCAAUAUGAAUCAAGUGUUACAAAUUUUGAAUAGGAUCGAACUGGGAUCAGAUCUACCGCACGAAUUUCGAAGCAACCUCAGAUCAUCUUAUUUUCAUCU
Molecule: long non-coding RNA, 351 nt
Filed under: Elaeis guineensis (African oil palm)
Lineage: Eukaryota; Viridiplantae; Streptophyta; Magnoliopsida; Arecales; Arecaceae
Description: long non-coding RNA (EGUI_LNC025156)
Source: RNAcentral